GAGAGGAAGGUCCCCCACACUGGUACUGAGACACGGACCAGACUCCUACGGGAGGCAGCAGUGAGGAAUAUUGGUCAAUGGGCGGGAGCCUGAACCAGCCAAGUAGCGA
This 109-nucleotide ribosomal RNA is filed under the name uncultured bacterium. RNAcentral's name for it is "partial 16S ribosomal RNA". It matches the Rfam family "Bacterial small subunit ribosomal RNA", at positions 294 to 402 of the family's 1533-position model. The record is from RNAcentral.